GAGUUUGAUCCUGGCUCAGGACGAACGCUGGCGGCGUGCCUAAUACAUGCAAGUAGAACGCUGAAGAGAGGAGCUUGCUCUUCUUGGAUGAGUUGCGAACGGGUGAGUAACGCGUAGGUAACCUGCCUUGUAGCGGGGGAUAACUAUUGGAAACGAUAGCUAAUACCGCAUAACAAUGGAUGACACAUGUCAUUUAUUUGAAAGGGGCAAUUGCUCCACUACAAGAUGGACCUGCGUUGUAUUAGCUAGUAGGUGAGGUAAUGGCUCACCUAGGCGACGAUACAUAGCCGACCUGAGAGGGUGAUCGGCCACACUGGGACUGAGACACGGCCCAGACUCCUACGGGAGGCAGCAGUAGGGAAUCUUCGGCAAUGGGGGCAACCCUGACCGAGCAACGCCGCGUGAGUGAAGAAGGUUUUCGGAUCGUAAAGCUCUGUUGUAAGUCAAGAACGGGUGUGAGAGUGGAAAGUUCACACU
This 477-nucleotide ribosomal RNA is filed under the name uncultured bacterium. RNAcentral's name for it is "bacterial SSU rRNA". It matches the Rfam family "Bacterial small subunit ribosomal RNA", at positions 9 to 470 of the family's 1533-position model. The record is from RNAcentral.